Molecule: ribosomal RNA, 1352 nt
Filed under: uncultured bacterium
Lineage: Bacteria
Description: bacterial SSU rRNA
Rfam family: Bacterial small subunit ribosomal RNA
Source: RNAcentral
AUUGAACGCUGGCGGCAUGCCUUACACAUGCAAGUCGAACGGCAGCACGGAGCUUGCUCUGGUGGCGAGUGGCGAACGGGUGAGUAAUAUAUCGGAACGUACCCUAGAGUGGGGGAUAACGUAGCGAAAGUUACGCUAAUACCGCAUACGAUCUAAGGAUGAAAGUGGGGGAUCGCAAGACCUCAUGCUCGUGGAGCGGCCGAUAUCUGAUUAGCUAGUUGGUAGGGUAAAAGCCUACCAAGGCAUCGAUCAGUAGCUGGUCUGAGAGGACGACCAGCCACACUGGAACUGAGACACGGUCCAGACUCCUACGGGAGGCAGCAGUGGGGAAUUUUGGACAAUGGGCGAAAGCCUGAUCCAGCAAUGCCGCGUGAGUGAAGAAGGCCUUCGGGUUGUAAAGCUCUUUUGUCAGGGAAGAAACGGUGGGAGCUAAUAUCUCUUGCUAAUGACGGUACCUGAAGAAUAAGCACCGGCUAACUACGUGCCAGCAGCCGCGGUAAUACGUAGGGUGCAAGCGUUAAUCGGAAUUACUGGGCGUAAAGCGUGCGCAGGCGGUUUUGUAAGUCUGAUGUGAAAUCCCCGGGCUCAACCUGGGAAUUGCAUUGGAGACUGCAAGGCUAGAAUCUGGCAGAGGGGGGUAGAAUUCCACGUGUAGCAGUGAAAUGCGUAGAUAUGUGGAGGAACACCGAUGGCGAAGGCAGCCCCCUGGGUCAAGAUUGACGCUCAUGCACGAAAGCGUGGGGAGCAAACAGGAUUAGAUACCCUGGUAGUCCACGCCCUAAACGAUGUCUACUAGUUGUCGGGUCUUAAUUGACUUGGUAACGCAGCUAACGCGUGAAGUAGACCGCCUGGGGAGUACGGUCGCAAGAUUAAAACUCAAAGGAAUUGACGGGGACCCGCACAAGCGGUGGAUGAUGUGGAUUAAUUCGAUGCAACGCGAAAAACCUUACCUACCCUUGACAUGGCUGGAAUCCUUGAGAGAUCAGGGAGUGCUCGAAAGAGAACCAGUACACAGGUGCUGCAUGGCUGUCGUCAGCUCGUGUCGUGAGAUGUUGGGUUAAGUCCCGCAACGAGCGCAACCCUUGUCAUUAGUUGCUACGAAAGGGCACUCUAAUGAGACUGCCGGUGACAAACCGGAGGAAGGUGAGGAUGACGUCAAGUCCUCAUGGCCCUUAUGGGUAGGGCUUCACACGUCAUACAAUGGUACAUACAGAGCGCCGCCAACCCGCGAGGGGGAGCUAAUCGCAGAAAGUGUAUCGUAGUCCGGAUUGUAGUCUGCAACUCGACUGCAUGAAGUUGGAAUCGCUAGUAAUCGCGGAUCAGCAUGUCGCGGUGAAUACGUUCCCGGGUCU